CUCUUGGAUCAAUAAUUAUAGCUUCCAUGAAAUUAUGUAGCAUUAAGGCAUUCAAAGACUGAAUAGUUUCCCCAUGCUAGAUGCAGUAUGGGUGUUGAGUAUUCAGUAAUGUAAAAUACAAACAAGAUCUAUUUUUGUGCAAUUAAGUUGCAAUUUUAUCAGUGGCAACUGCUACUUAAAGAAGAAAGAGCCAUUAGUUGCCAUUAAAAAAAAUGAAAGCAACUACCUAAAAGCCAUAGUUUUAGGUUGAAUCUACCUUUGUUGUAAUUUAUUAAAUUAUUCAUUUCACCAAGUGAAAACAAUUUAUUUGAUUUGAAUUAAAAUAAAAUGUUGAAGGUAUCUAUGUUUUUAAUUAAAAGAAUUAAUUGAAAUUUCCUAAACGAAGGAAGGUUCUAAUCCCAGUAAGAGAGCCUCCUCUUAAUGCAUCCAUUUUCACUAAUGCUCAUCAACACUGUGCUGUGCUUAUAAAACGACCUGUUUUUUUAAAUGUCCUAUAACUUAAGUAACCAAGAAGGUAGUAUGCAAUCAGUGAGUUUAAUAACUGUGUCCGGGCAAGCAUGAAUUACUGGCCUCAAGAUUUUCAUUACAACUUAACUACUGCUGUAUAUGCUGAAUCUUUCCCUGCCCACAAAUAAUGUCCAGUUAGUAUAUUCUGUCAUGUGAAAGUAUGCUAAGUGUGCUCACCUGUCAGUAAACUUGGGUGUUUAAUUAUUUUUAAAUAGUUAUUUUCAACUUUGCUCUUUCAAAGAAGAGUGAAAAAUACCAUAGAUUCUGCUUGCCAUGUUGUGUACUUAUUAAAGGAAUUUUGUUUUUAUAACCAAUAUGCUGACAUUGUAGUGGUAUGAUUAAAUAACUUUUCAUAUACAUCCAUUGGCUUCAUAUUUUCAUAUGAUAAACAGAAUUAAAUCAGAUAAUGAAGUGAAAUAAUACUGUACAUAGUAGAGAUUACAAGGAAGACUGGCACUGCUCAUUUGACAAGGAGAAGCAAUAGAGACCUGAAGUGGGUUUCCCAGUCAUGUCUCCUGUGCCUUGGACACAUCAUCUUGUUUCUGUGAUACCCUCCAUGACGCUGUCUUUAUUACGGAUGCCGUGUCUGCUGCUACUCUCCAUCUUUACCUGCAAUAAGUGAAUUACUGAAAAGCACGAGAGUAGAAAUGCAAAGUCAGAAUAUAAAGGUGUAUACCUUUAAAAUCACAGUUUUAAAUAAGUUUGAAGGAAAAACACUAAUUACAUUUAAUAAAUUUAAAGAUAUAUAAAAUUAAGAUGGCUUUACAUGUAAUAGUUAUAUGCUUUGUUAUUAUUCUUAUUUAAAAUUGCCUCAGGGUUCUGUUUCUUUGGUUUUAAAGGGCUUUUUGUUUUUGUUGUUGUUGGCUUUGUUUGUUUGUUUUUUAAUUUUUAUUGUUCCAUCUCUUUGUGUUGGUAUCACUCUGUAUACAGAACUCUCAUUAAAUAAAGAUGGUAAUAGUGG
This 1468-nucleotide long non-coding RNA is filed under the name Mus musculus (house mouse). Its description in RNAcentral is "long non-coding RNA chr6:8297145-8298613". The record is from RNAcentral. Lineage: Eukaryota; Metazoa; Chordata; Mammalia; Rodentia; Muridae.